RNAcentral lists this unclassified non-coding RNA (151 nucleotides) under uncultured Dothideomycetes. RNAcentral's name for it is "sequence contains ITS1". The record is from RNAcentral. Lineage: Eukaryota; Fungi; Ascomycota; Dothideomycetes.
CCGAGUGAGGGCGUUAACGCCCGACCUCCAACCCUUUGUGAACCAACCUCUGUUGCCUCGGGGGCGACCCGGCCCUUCGGGUGUCGGGGCCCUCGGUGGACCACACUUCAACUCUGCGUCUUUGCGUCUGAGUCUUAUGAUAAAUCAAUCA